AUUGAACGCUGGCGGCAGGCUUAACACAUGCAAGUCGAGCGGGGGAAGGUAGCUUGCUACCGGACCUAGCGGCGGACGGGUGAGUAAUGCUUAGGAAUCUGCCUAUUAGUGGGGGACAACAUCUCGAAAGGGAUGCUAAUACCGCAUACGUCCUACGGGAGAAAGCAGGGGAUCUUCGGUCCUUGCGCUAAUAGAUGAGCCUAAGUCGGAUUAGCUAGUUGGUGGGGUAAAGGCCUACCAAGGCGACGAUCUGUAGCGGGUCUGAGAGGAUGAACCGCCACACUGGGACUGAGACACGGCCCAGACUCCUACGGGAGGCAGCAGUGGGGAAUAUUGGACAAUGGGGGGAACCCUGAUCCAGCCAUGCCGCGUGUGUGAAGAAGGCCUUAUGGUUGUAAAGCACUUUAAGCGAGGAGGAGGCUACUUUAGUUAAUACCUAGAGAUAGUGGACGUUACUCGCAGAAUAAGCACCGGCUAACUCUGUGCCAGCCGCCGCGGUAA
RNAcentral lists this ribosomal RNA (501 nucleotides) under uncultured bacterium. RNAcentral's name for it is "partial 16S ribosomal RNA". It matches the Rfam family "Bacterial small subunit ribosomal RNA", at positions 30 to 523 of the family's 1533-position model. The record is from RNAcentral.